AUCUGAUGAAAGAUUUCAAUAUCCAGCAGAAUUCUUGCCAUUGCACUAGUUUCAGGACCACUGGGCUCAAUUGUAAUUCAUUGACUAGUGACAAGUGUACUCUGUAUGGAAAAGGAUUAGGGGGCCAGCCCGUCAUUUCUGAGUUCCAAAAAGGCAGUUGUUUAUCCCACACAGAUUUUUCGGUCAUUAAAACGAGAAAAACAAGACUAGCAUCCGAAUAGUUCAAGUUGAGAACAAUAUUUACAGAAAAAAAUCAUACUCCAUAUGUAGACGCUGCCUAAUUACAACGU
RNAcentral lists this unclassified non-coding RNA (290 nucleotides) under Hevea brasiliensis (rubber tree). The record is from RNAcentral. Lineage: Eukaryota; Viridiplantae; Streptophyta; Magnoliopsida; Malpighiales; Euphorbiaceae.